AGAUUAAAAAAAGAAAGAGAAGGGGAAAAAAUAUGAUUAAACAACAUCAUGAAUGCAAUCUACAGAAACAGAAAAAUAAAAUUACUUAUAUGCAUGCUUAAGGAGAUACAAAACUUCUUCAAAAAGCAGAGGUUCAGGAAAUGCAACACAGGCACAGCUAUUCUAAACACAUUAAAAACAUCACUGGCCAAGAGAAAUUAAUAUUCCAAUGGCUGCUAGUUAAAUCAUCUUCAAGUAUGUGCUGGAGCACUAUUCCUUUCUUACUGAUUGGAAACAAAUCAUCAGGAACAAGUUACUUAAAGUGCAAGAGUAUCCAAUGCUGCUCCUCCUCCAAGGAGCUCCUGGUCCCUGACAGAUCAACAGGUUAAAAAAAGAAAAAGAAGAAAGGCUUAUGGAAGAGAGGUAAAACUCAGAUUUGGAAGAUGCUAUUGGCAGUCAGUGAUCCUGCGCCACAAUCUUCAUUCCCUUUGGUUUAAAUAUGAACAAAAUUAAGGGAUUCUAGAAGAGCUCCUGAUGAAGUACUAACAAAACCCCAAAAAGCAAGGAGAAAAGAAAUUAAACUAAACUCAACCUGUCAAGCUGCUGUAAGAGUGGUUGCUGCUGUCCUGGCCCAGGCAGCCCCACACUGCUGGGACAGGGUGUGCUGACUGCAGGUUUCACAACUCCAAAGUCCGUGUUGACCUGCAGGUCUACAGCUAGUGUUGUGGACAACACACAAAGAACUGACUGUUACCUGAAACCCCCAAAUAUUUUGUCAGCCUUCACAUCUCAGGCUCACUGCAGUGCAAAACUCACUGCAGGCAGCUUUGCUGGAGCAUUCUCCUCAUGGAGAGAAGGAGCUCCUGACCCUGAGCUUGGUGUCCCUCAAUGGCUACGAGUAACUGGAUGGGCUGCAUGGAUGGGCUGCAUGGAUGGGCUGCUCACCUGCACCUAGUGAGGAUCUGUGCUACCAGGGGAAGGAGCUGCAGGAGACUGCCAGGAGUGUGAAGAUAGGAAGCUCAUGGAUUCUGGCACCAGAAUCCUGCUUCACCUGCUGGGUAGUGACCACGGGAGACACUCAGGAUCCUUACAGCAGACAAGGAGCUCUUUGGAAGGAAGCACCAGAACCUCCUGAAGCAGCAGCACCAAGAAAAGGUGGUGAGAGACUCAGGCCUUUCCAGCCUCACAGCACCUGGAGCUCAGGCACCAGCACUCCAGGCAGUGCUCCAGCACAUCCUACCACCACCAUCCAUUAGGCAUCACUACAGAAGGUCCUUCUAGAACUGUGGCUUUCCAGUAUGUUAAAAGUAUCUCACUCAUGCCGAUCACCCUGUGCCUGUGAGUCCACCACCUCCUUUCAUCUGUCCUACACCCUGCACUUUGGCACAAGGCUUGAACAACACUUGGAUUUCCAGACACUGGCAUGUUUGUGUCCUAUAACAAACAUUUCCUUCAGAUCACUGAGGUGGAGACCUUUCUUGGAAAAGUUCACAGUACUAAAAUGUUUAGCACAGCUCUGCCAAAACCUUCUUGCACUGGCAGGUGGAAACAUACUGGGCAUUCAAAUGUGACAAUGAUUACCAGCUUGUUUUUCUGGCCUCUCUGUUAAAGCACAGCAAGGAGCUGUCAUGCUGAAGACCACUUGAACCAGGCUCAUCAAAGUGAGCUUCAACAUCAAAUUUCCAAAGUAGAAC
Long non-coding RNA from Serinus canaria (Common canary), 1673 nucleotides. RefSeq lists it as uncharacterized. The transcript has 3 exons. NCBI's taxonomy places the organism in Eukaryota, Metazoa, Chordata, Aves, Passeriformes, Fringillidae. The record is from RefSeq and is a predicted model, not a curated record.